UACGUAGGUGGCAAGCGUUGUCCGGAUUUAUUGGGCGUAAAGGGUGCGUAGGCGGCCUUUUAAGUCUGAUGUGAAAGCCCCCGGCUCAACCGGGGAGGGUCAUUGGAAACUGGGAAACUUGAGUGCAGAAGAGGAGAGUGGAAUUCCAUGUGUAGCGGUGAAAUGCGUAGAAAUAUGGAGGAACACCAGUGGCGAAGGCGGCUCUCUGGUCUGUAACUGACGCUGAGGCUCGAAAGCGUGGGGAGCAAACAGGAUUAGAUACCCUGGUAGUCCACGCCGUAAACGAUGAGUGCUAAGUGUUGGAGGGUUUCCGCCCUUCAGUGCUGCAGCAAACGCAUUAAGCACUCCGCCUGGGGAGUACGACCGCAAGGUUGAA
This 376-nucleotide ribosomal RNA is filed under the name uncultured bacterium. RNAcentral describes it as "bacterial SSU rRNA". It matches the Rfam family "Bacterial small subunit ribosomal RNA", at positions 524 to 898 of the family's 1533-position model. The record is from RNAcentral.